AGGGAAUCUUCCGCAAUGGACGAAAGUCUGACGGAGCAACGCCGCGUGAGUGAUGAAGGUUUUCGGAUCGUAAAACUCUGUUGUUAGGGAAGAACAAGUACCGUUCGAAUAGGGCGGUACCUUGACGGUACCUAACCAGAAAGCCACGGCUAACUACGUGCCAGCAGCCGCGGUAAUACGUAGGUGGCAAGCGUUGUCCGGAAUUAUUGGGCGUAAAGCGCGCGCAGGCGGUUUCUUAAGUCGGAUGUGAAAGCCCCGGGCUCAACCGGGGAGGGUCAUUGGAAACUGGGGAACUUGAGUGCAGAAGAGGAGAGUGGAAUUCCACGUGUAGCGGUGAAAUGCGUAGAGAUGUGGAGGAACACCAGUGGCGAAGGCGACUCUCUGGUCUGUAACUGACGCUGAGGCGCGAAAGCGUGGGGAGCGAAC
RNAcentral lists this ribosomal RNA (426 nucleotides) under uncultured bacterium. RNAcentral describes it as "bacterial SSU rRNA". It matches the Rfam family "Bacterial small subunit ribosomal RNA", at positions 356 to 773 of the family's 1533-position model. The record is from RNAcentral.